Molecule: transfer RNA, 84 nt
Filed under: Candidatus Nanopelagicales bacterium
Lineage: Bacteria; Bacillati; Actinomycetota; Actinomycetes; Candidatus Nanopelagicales
Also listed under: 1 other name
Description: tRNA-Leu
Rfam family: tRNA
About the family: Transfer RNA (tRNA) molecules are approximately 80 nucleotides in length.
Source: RNAcentral
GCGGGAGUGGUGGAAUGGCAGACACGCCGGCUUUAGGUGCCGGUGUCUUCGGACGUGCGGGUUCAAGUCCCGCCUCCCGCACCA